CGGGGGCGCCAGGGCCCUGGACGGAUCCGCCCCCAGCCCAGAGACACGCCCCUUUCUCUGGCGCGGGCGGCCGGGCCUCGUCAGGAUCGCCGCGCCGCGCAUGCGCUCGCUCUUCCCGCGGCCGUCCCGGGCUGCCGCGCCAGACCCGACCCGGGACCUGAGCUCCGCCUCCUCCCGCUGCGGGGCUCGGCGAGCCCGGCCCCAGGCUCCCGCCGUUCUAGCGCCCCCGCCGGUGCCCCCGGCCUUCCCGCCCCUCUGGCCCCCCAGUGGGAGCUCUCGCCGUCGGGUCGGGUCGGGUCGGGUCGGGUCGGCCGAAGCCCUGUAGCUGCGGACCCGGCUCCAGGUGGGCCCGUGGAGGGCGAAGAGCCGAGCCGAGCCGAGCCGAGAGGCCGGGGAAGCAGAGAGCCCGGGGCGGGGCGGGGCGGGGUGUGGGCCGCUGCCGCUCUUACCCCCGCGCUCUGUCCACAGUCACGCUGAACGGGGGGAGCCUGGCCCAGGACCGACGGCUAGCCAGGCCCGAAAGGUCGAUAAUCCGAAUAGUGCGGUCACCUGUUCACUGCGGGGAGCGUUUGUGACUGUGUGAUGAUACGGACUAACACAGCUGUUACUCUGAAACCAGCCCCAUCUGGAUCACCCUGAAUAUGAACAUUGGACUAUAACCUAUGGACUAAUUUUAAAAGAACUGUCUGCAACUAUGAAGCUCACCAUCUCCACUAUGAAUCUGAUCUCAGAACUGUACUCAUGUCUGAGGACGUAUCGGACUUGCUCGGAAGAGGCUAGUUCAUGGGUUUGGAACCAUGAAGGAACCAGGCUGUCAGGUGGAGCUUUUGGAGCUGCAGGUGAAGAACCCAUCCGUUGUCCUGGGAAAGGAGAUCUGGCCUUUUGGGGAGAGACCAUGGAUGACGGGAGGACAUGUGGAGUAGGGUGGGCCGAUAUUGUUGCUGUUUUGUCCUUUGUGCCACUGCAUCCAUGACGAGAGAGUUCAGUUGUGGGUGAGAAAAUAGGAAGUCAGCAUCCUUAGCAGGAACAUAGUAUUUAAGUUUGGCCUUUCUGCAGAGAUCAGGGAAGAGAAGUAGCACUGCCCUGAGUCCCGUCUUCAGUCAGGGAUGGUUGAGAAGGAACUGAGGAGGGUGCAGGACGCAGACGCUCAGGAAGAUUCCAACGAGACAGGAGAUACCAACUGAGCACCUGCAUCCCGACCAGGCACUGCUACCGAAAAUCUCCGAUCAAUAGUGCCGGGACACACCGACACCUAGAGUGGAGCACCCACAGGGACAGCACUCGAAGAAGAAAUUGACAAUUUGCAGCUGUUUGCUGCACCAAAGCAGUGAGGGAGUUGACUCAAUUUGCAGCUGUUUGCUGCACCAAAGCAGUGAGGGAGUUGACUCCUUACAGACAGACAGUCAAUCAAGAGCUAUUCUUACUGAGAUCUAUCACUUGUAAUGACCUAGAGCCUACCUGGAGAGUGAAACUGAAUAUUCAUGGCAAGACUAUUGACUUUAAAACUCACAUCACAGUUAUUUCAAAAGGGUCUUACAGUCAUCAUCAACCCCUUUCAGAGGUGAAGACACCUGACAAAGCUUUGACUAGCCCUAGUGGUAUUCUGAAUUGUGUGGGCCACUUCACCACAGAAAGAGCUUUUGAAGACAAAAGCUAUGCAUUCAGAGUACAUGCAAAGGAUCAAAGACCAACAGCCUUCUCAGUUACAGCAUGGCAGUCAUGAUGGAUUUAAUGAAAAGGUGGAAGAACUUGACAGAGGAUUUGAUGAAUUGGAGUUUUGAAAGGUGAUCCGGUACUAAUCAACUUAGGAGACCAUGCUGAAUUGUACAAUGUACAAACACCUUUAUCAGAGGGACCUGGGAAGAGAUUAGUUACAGAUUGAUGGAAAUUCAGAGGACAUCAUCAGAGGACCUGGUUGUAGUGGACUAUUUUUCUGGUAUGUAGAAAUCAUGUACUUGAAAGUCAUAACACGUUGCAGUGUUAUUGGGAAACUGAAGUGCACUCUGAUAUUCCUGAACAACUAGUGACGGAUAAGGGACCACAAUUCACUGCAGCAGAAUUUAAGUAAUUCGAAACAAAAUAUGAUUUUGAUCAUGUUGUUAGCAGCUCACAGUACCCACAAGUAAAUGGAGAGGCUGAGAGAGCUGUACAGACAGCCAAGAAAAUUCUACAGCAGGAAAAUGCAUUUCUUUGCUCUCUUGAGUUACAAAUCAACCCCAAUGGCAGCUACUGGGUAUGAUCGAGCACAACACCUGAUAGGAGGACAACUCAAACCUACUGUUUCAACUUGGGGGGGGGGGGUGGAAUCUAUCUCCCAAAUGGCCAGACAUAAAGAGAGUACCCAAAAUGGAUAAAAAUAUUAAAAUACAGUUUUUGAACAUUUUUACAACAGAUAUCACUGAGUUCGAGAACUGCCAGGUCUAGAGCCUGGUGACCAUGUUCAUGUCAAAUUGGAUGGGAAAAAGGAUGGACAACUCCACCUGACGUAAAAAGAAAGAAUUCAGUGCCCAGAUAGUAUGAUAGAGACAGACAGUGUCAAGUUCAACAGAAACUGUGGACAUCUAGUUUAUUCCUCAGAAAGAACAAUCAACAGAGCAAACUCUACAGAUGCAGAACAAAAGAUGACUCAAGGAUGACCAAGUUGUUGUAUGUUUGGGUUGUUUAUUUAGACAACCAGAAGGAGUCACAGACACUGAACAGACUGAUACUUACUGAAUUUCAAAGAUAGUGUAAAUGGUAGGAAUGUAGAACUUCAAAGGGGAGAUUUAAUGGAAUGAUAAACUGUAUUAUACUGUUCUGCUAUUGGGUGGUGCUGUGUGUAAAAUUCCUUCUUUAAGCUCAUAACAGCCAUACCUGGCAGAACGUUAUGGGAUCUUAUGGUGAAUAUCUGGUGUGUAUUUCACUAAGAAGCAAGCUCUGUAGCCAGUCCCUGUCUGGCACAGGACCCUGACAGCAUGCCACAUUUUUGUAUUGUAUACAAAUCCUAGCAGAACCAAGUAUUUCACAUAAGUGUCAUAACACAAGGCACAAUGGAUUUAAUGUUUCAUUUCUCAUCUGUACAAAAGUACAAAUCCCAGAAUAAUGUGUCCUGUGAAAGCAGCUUUUGUCCCAUAGGGAUGUGGCUGGGAAAUAGAUAGAACUUUGGCAUUACAAUUUCAUUCCCAAUGCCAAUUCUCCAGUUUCCCUAAUAUACCUGCCCUCCCAAUGGUUGUUACAGACCCUUACCAGCAGAUGGAAAUAGGAAAUUGUUACCAUAUUAUUUAUUUAGCAUCAGCAUUAAGGAGCUUGUCCCUGAAUAUUAAAACAAAGACAAUCAUUGCAUCCGAUGAAGUGAGCUGUAGCUCACGAAAGCUUAUGCUCAAAUAAAUUUGUUAGUCUCUAAGGUGCCACAAAUUCUC
Molecule: long non-coding RNA, 3398 nt
Organism: Dermochelys coriacea (leatherback sea turtle)
Lineage: Eukaryota; Metazoa; Chordata; Testudines; Dermochelyidae
Exons: 5
Source: RefSeq, a predicted model, not a curated record